RNAcentral lists this long non-coding RNA (2796 nucleotides) under Panax ginseng (ginseng). Its description in RNAcentral is "long non-coding RNA (PGIN_LNC005830)". The record is from RNAcentral. Lineage: Eukaryota; Viridiplantae; Streptophyta; Magnoliopsida; Apiales; Araliaceae.
ACACCAUUAGAUCUCACUGCCUCAUUCCUGACGGCCGCUGGCAUUCAUUCACUCAGAUCUCCUCAGAUGCUAAUCUCUUUUAUUAUCAGGUAAAUUUCUAAAUUCUACUUAUUUUCCUAAAUCAAACAUACGUCUUUGUUUUUCUGUUCCUUUUCUGAGGUUAAUUAAAUUAAUUUCAUAUCCACAUUAGAUAGUCUUGUAUAAUUAUUCGAUCUCCAUCUUUAGAGAUGGCUGAAUUACUGCAAGAAUUUUUGUACAUAUAAAAAAAAUGAUAUUCUAUUGCAUUAAUACCUACUCCUUUAUGUUAAUCACUCCACAUUUUUAAAAAAUUCUAUUGGAUUCUAUUGCAUUCGAUUUAUAAUUAAAAUUAAUUUAUACCAAGAAAUUCUUUGUCGUGUUGAUUUUGUUUCUUGUUUCUAAUUAAAAUUAAUUAUUAUCAAGAUGGUUUAGAGGAUAUAGAAUAUGACUUCAACCCUACAAGAACGAGACUUUUUAUGUGGUUUUGAAAUCUGCAAGUCUCCACAAAUUAUCUUUUGUAUGUAUUCUUGUUGUGUGGUGUAUUUAAUGAGUUUUUUUUAAGACUAAUUUUGUUGAAUUAUUUUUAAUAUAGUUAUUAAACUUGCAUAAAAAAUAAUUAUUUUUAUUCUUCGAUUCUUUUCUUUUAAUAAUAGAGUAUUUGUGGUGAUGCAAAAUUUUGAUUAACUUAUCAAACUAUUGUAGAGAGAGAGGCUUCUCAGACAUGAAAGUUUCUUAAGUUAUCUGCUUAUUUGCGUGUGUAUAGAGCAAAAUAAGAUAAGGAUGUUGAGGGAAAAUAUGCAUUUUUUUAAACGUGGAUUGACUUCACUUCUCAUUUUAACCAAUUCUUAUGGAUUUGUUCUGUUGCAGUUGAAGUCAUAACUUUUCUUGAUUAAUUAAAUAUUCAAAAUUAGAUUACUCAGUCCUUUGUGUCUUCGGUGGUGUUUGUUUACUUUAUGUUCACACUUGGCUAUAAGUAUUUUAGGUUGAAUAACUACAUUUAGUGUUGGUACUUGGUAGAUAGAGUGAAAUGUACAUGACUGUUGACGCCUUUAUAAACCAAUUGUUAUUUGUAUUUUCCUAGACACGUAGUACUAGAUGAAAUUUUUGUAAAUUUAAAUCUGGAGUACAAUUGGUUUAAUAUGUAAAUAAAAAAAAUUGAGACAACAAAAAUGGUAUUUGGAGAUUAAAUAUAAUAAAUGAUUUUUUUUUUUGGAUAAGUAAUGAAUAGAUCUUAAAUACGUGAAGAUCUUGCUCCAAUAAAUGUAGCUAUACUGCAUAUGUUUUUAAAUGUACGUGUGAAGAAAAUAAAUGAUUUGAUCUCUUACUUGUGUGUACUCUAUUUUUAUUUGACAUGCAGUUGACAUGGUAAAAUAUUUACACGAUAUCCAACAAGUUGAAAAUGAGUCGUUGUUCAUGACAUUUCAAAUUAGCCCAUUGAUUUCAGGUAAUAAGGUUUUCCUGUAACUAUUGGAAUACAUUAUGUGCUAUUAUUUAACUCGAACACAAUUGUCGUAAAUGACAAAAAUAAACUUAACUUGUAAGUUUGGUUUCUUUUCUUCCCUAUAAAUUAUCAUAAUUCAAUGGAGUUCUGCGAGAAAGUAAAUAUAUUUCUUGUUUCAAAAAGUUUUCACUACUACAAAACAGUAAAUAGAUAACGCGGAAAAAACGUUGUGGUUUCAGUCAGAAAAACGUCGUGGUUAAGGGUGUCAUGACACCCUUACACAACAUUUUUACAAUGUUGUAGUUAAGCACAUUACACAACGUUUUUUAAAAAAAAAAUGUUGUAGAUUUGUUUUCCAUAAAUUAGUAGAUGCUUAAAAAUGUUGUAGAAGGUAUGAUUCAACAACGUUUUCUGGAUAAAAACGUUGUAAUUUAAUAUAUCAGACAACGUUUUUAACCAAUUUAUACAACGUUUAGAAGGUGUCAUUUAUUUAUACAAAUAUACAAUAUUUUUAAAAUAUUGUAGAUAAAGAAAAAAAAAAGUGGUAGUUCACUUAUAUUAUCAAUGCACCUACAAUAUGCUAAUGCCAUGAUAUAUAGCUAAAAUGUCUAAAUUCUCAUUUAAAUUUAAAGUCAAAAUGUAUCAACCAUUCAAAAUACAUUCCAAUAAUAACAUUCGUUUACAGUUUCAAAUUACUACAUCCACAAAAUAUAUACCAAACUAUCCAUAUAUGCAUCUCAAAUUCACUUUUCAAUAUAAACUACUACUAUAUUGAAUUGUGAAUUUAAUUACAUGCAUCCAUAAAAUAAACCAAACUAUCUAUAAAAUUGAGCUACUACCUAAGCAUGUGCAAAAAAGCCUAGUUCUCCCAAAAUACGUACAUUCAUCUAACAUAUUCACUGUUAACUCGAGGCUCUACAUGUAGCUGCUCACAUACGUUGCCCACUCAUCCCGUCAAUUUGUUCUUGUGUGUACGUUAAUCCACAUGCCUUAUCCUACUGAAAUAAAAGAACAACAAAUUUAGUAUUCAACAAAGAUACCAAAUCACAAGGAUACCAAAUCUGACCUGGUACUGAUGUUGCGCAACAUGAAAUAACUAACCAAAACUUGGACGUGUUUUUCUCAAGUAGCCCUCAAAGCCAACUGCUGACAUCAAAUAACCAAAGUUAGUUCAAGUGUGAUGGUUACUAUAGAAGCUAGCUACAACAAAAGUGCUCGUUAAUACUUUCAUUACCUGACUGGACAGUAAUGGGGAAGUUUAUCCAGAAUCUCCAGCUCUUCAAGUGUUAUCUGAUCUAUCUUGUUGACAGCAUAGAUGCAAGGCAUAUACACACGGC